CAAUCCAAACAAAGCAUUUCUAUGCCAGUCAGUUGAUAGGAAGCUGUGAUAAGAUGGUUUAUAACUGGUAGCAGGGGAGGGGGGAGGGUUUAGUCUGUUCAGAAAGCCGGUGGACUAAGAAGACUAGUGUCUGAAUUCUGACCAUUUUUCAAACAUGGGAUGCACAACGAGCUUUGACGUGAAGUCGCAGGACCCUCCGACAGACCCUGCAGCUUCUGCUGAUGAGGGGCAGGAGCAAACCGUUGUGGACGAUUUGGAACAUGUUGAGGACACUAAAUCAAACAAACCACAACCUGACUUGCAAGCAGAGAACAUAGAGAAUGCAGCAGAAACAAAGGAAGAGUAGCAGAAUAAGAAUGUAAAGAUGACUUCAGUUUAUGUGCAAGAUGCAACUGGAUACCUCUGCUGUGCCUGCUUUUAAACCUAUUGUGAUUGAUAGGCUGUUUCCAUCCCAUCAUACAGAACUCAAAGAUGAUUCCCAGAGUACUUCCUGAACAAAUGGACUGCAAAGCUCCCUUGGGAAUAAAGCGUUAAUAAAAUAUGAAAUGCAAACAUAGCAGAAUAACUGUUAUAAAAUGUCUAUUUAUAUUUAAUGUACCCUUUGAAAUACAAGAACACAUUAAAUCAAAAUAGAAAAUAUAUUUAAAAUAUGCUGUUAACCUGCAAAACCGACAAAAUCCAAACAAAACAAUAAAAAUACUUAUUUUUUUUUC
Long non-coding RNA from Acipenser ruthenus (sterlet), 713 nucleotides. RefSeq lists it as uncharacterized. The transcript is spliced from 4 exons. The record is from RefSeq and is a predicted model, not a curated record. NCBI's taxonomy places the organism in Eukaryota, Metazoa, Chordata, Actinopteri, Acipenseriformes, Acipenseridae.